This 497-nucleotide ribosomal RNA is filed under the name uncultured bacterium. RNAcentral describes it as "partial 16S ribosomal RNA". It matches the Rfam family "Bacterial small subunit ribosomal RNA", at positions 28 to 507 of the family's 1533-position model. The record is from RNAcentral.
GAUGAACGCUGGCGGCGUGCCUAAUACAUGCAAGUCGAGCGAACAGACGAGGAGCUUGCUCCUCUGACGUUAGCGGCGGACGGGUGAGUAACACGUGGAUAACCUACCUAUAAGACUGGGAUAACUUCGGGAAACCGGAGCUAAUACCGGAUAAUAUAUUGAACCGCAUGGUUCAAUAGUGAAAGACGGUUUUGCUGUCACUUAUAGAUGGAUCCGCGCCGCAUUAGCUAGUUGGUAAGUUAACGGCUUACCAAGGCAACCAGGCGUAGCCGACCUGAGAGGGUGAUCGGCCACACUGGAACGUAGACACGGUCCAGACUCCUACGGGAGGCAGCAGUAGGGAAUCUUCCGCAAUGGGCGAAAGCUUGACGGAGCAACGCCGCGUGAGUGAUGAAGGUCUUCGGAUCGUAAAACUCUGUUAUUAGGGAAGAACAAAUGUGUAAGUAACUAUGCACGUCUUGACGGUACCUAAUCAGAAAGCCACGGCUAACUACGUG